This 233-nucleotide unclassified non-coding RNA is filed under the name plant metagenome. Its description in RNAcentral is "partial contains small subunit ribosomal RNA, internal transcribed spacer 1, and 5.8S ribosomal RNA". The record is from RNAcentral.
UUUCCGUAGGUGAACCUGCGGAAGGAUCAUUAUUGCAUCUUGAAACAUCAGGCUGCUGCUGGCUCUCCUCGGAGGGCAUGUGCACGCUUGUUGUACAUUCUUUCUACCACUGUGCACAAAUUGUAGACCUUUCAGUAGGCCUAUGUUGUUUUUCACAAUCUCUGAAUGUAAUAGAAUGGUUUUGAAUCUUGGGAAAUACAAUACAACUUUCAGCAACGGAUCUCUUGGCUCUC